UACAGAGGGUGCAAGCGUUGUUCGGAAUUAUUGGGCGUAAAGCGCGUGUAGGCGGCCAGAAAAGUUGGGUGUGAAAGCCCUCGGCUUAACCGAGAAAGUGCGCCCAAAACUGUUUGGCUUGAGUACCGGAGAGGAUGGUGGAAUUCCCGGUGUAGAGGUGAAAUUCGUAGAUAUCGGGAGGAACACCAGUGGCGAAGGCGACCAUCUGGACGGAUACUGACGCUGAGACGCGAAAGCGUGGGUAGCAAACAGG
This 253-nucleotide ribosomal RNA is filed under the name uncultured bacterium. RNAcentral describes it as "partial 16S ribosomal RNA". It matches the Rfam family "Bacterial small subunit ribosomal RNA", at positions 524 to 776 of the family's 1533-position model. The record is from RNAcentral.